Molecule: ribosomal RNA, 917 nt
Filed under: Arthrobacter sp. K45-D42P
Lineage: Bacteria; Bacillati; Actinomycetota; Actinomycetes; Micrococcales; Micrococcaceae
Description: bacterial SSU rRNA
Rfam family: Bacterial small subunit ribosomal RNA
Source: RNAcentral
UUGGGGCUUGAAGAGAUUGUAGGCGAUUUGUCGCGUCUACUGUGAAAGCCCGGGGCUCAACCCCGGGUCUGCAGUGGGUACGAGCAGACUAGAGUGCAGUAGGGGAGACUGGAAUUCCUGGUGUAGCGGUGAAAUGCGCAGAUAUCAGGAGGAACACCGAUGGCGAAGGCAGGUCUCUGGGCUGUAACUGACGCUGAGGAGCGAAAGCAUGGGGAGCGAACAGGAUUAGAUACCCUGGUAGUCCAUGCCGUAAACGUUGGGCACUAGGUGUGGGGGACAUUCCACGUUUUCCGCGCCGUAGCUAACGCAUUAAGUGCCCCGCCUGGGGAGUACGGCCGCAAGGCUAAAACUCAAAGGAAUUGACGGGGGCCCGCACAAGCGGCGGAGCAUGCGGAUUAAUUCGAUGCAACGCGAAGAACCUUACCAAGGCUUGACAUGAACCGGAAAGGCCUGGAAACAGGUCCCCCACUUGUGGCCGGUUUACAGGUGGUGCAUGGUUGUCGUCAGCUCGUGUCGUGAGAUGUUGGGUUAAGUCCCGCAACGAGCGCAACCCUCGUUCUAUGUUGCCAGCGGGUUAUGCCGGGGACUCAUAGGAGACUGCCGGGGUCAACUCGGAGGAAGGUGGGGACGACGUCAAAUCAUCAUGCCCCUUAUGUCUUGGGCUUCACGCAUGCUACAAUGGCCGGUACAAAGGGUUGCGAUACUGUGAGGUGGAGCUAAUCCCAAAAAGCCGGUCUCAGUUCGGAUUGAGGUCUGCAACUCGACCUCAUGAAGUUGGAGUCGCUAGUAAUCGCAGAUCAGCAACGCUGCGGUGAAUACGUUCCCGGGCCUUGUACACACCGCCCGUCAAGUCACGAAAGUUGGUAACACCCGAAGCCGGUGGCCUAACCCCUUGUGGGAGGAGCCGUCGAAGGGCC